AUACGGAGGGUGCAAGCGUUAAUCGGAAUUACUGGGCGUAAAGCGCGCGUAGGCGGAUUGUUAAGUCUCAUGUGAAAGCCCUGGGCUCAACCUGGGAACUGCAUGGGAUACUGGCAAUCUAGAAUACAGUAGAGGGUAGUGGAAUUUCAGGUGUAGCGGUGAAAUGCGUAGAGAUCUGAAGGAACAUCAGUGGCGAAGGCGACUACCUGGACUGAUAUUGACGCUGAGGUGCGAAAGCGUGGGGAGCAAACGGGAUUAGAUACCCUAGUAGUCC
RNAcentral lists this ribosomal RNA (274 nucleotides) under uncultured bacterium. RNAcentral's name for it is "partial 16S ribosomal RNA". It matches the Rfam family "Bacterial small subunit ribosomal RNA", at positions 523 to 796 of the family's 1533-position model. The record is from RNAcentral.